This 248-nucleotide ribosomal RNA is filed under the name uncultured Pseudomonas sp. RNAcentral's name for it is "partial 16S ribosomal RNA". It matches the Rfam family "Bacterial small subunit ribosomal RNA", at positions 1137 to 1382 of the family's 1533-position model. Lineage: Bacteria; Pseudomonadati; Pseudomonadota; Gammaproteobacteria; Pseudomonadales; Pseudomonadaceae. The record is from RNAcentral.
ACUCUAAGGAGGACUGCCGGUGUACAAACCGGAGGAAGGUGGGGAUGACGUCAAGUCAUCAUGGCCUUACGGCUUGGGCUACACACGUGCUACAAUGGUCGGUACAAAGGGUUGCCAAGCCGCGAGGUGGAGCUAAUCCCAUAAAAACCGAUCGUAGUCCGGAUCGCAGUCUGCAACUCGACUGCGUGAAGUCGGAAUCGCUAGUAAUCGUGAAUCAGAAUGUCACGGUGAAUACGUUCCCGGGCCUU